CCCGGGGUAGCUCAGGUGGUUAGAGCGUGGGACUCAUAAACCCAAGGUCGAGAGUUCAAGUCUCUCCCCCGGGA
Molecule: transfer RNA, 74 nt
Filed under: Patescibacteria group bacterium
Lineage: Bacteria
Description: tRNA-Met
Rfam family: tRNA
About the family: Transfer RNA (tRNA) molecules are approximately 80 nucleotides in length. Their secondary structure includes four short double-helical elements and three loops (D, anti-codon, and T loops).
Source: RNAcentral